Long non-coding RNA from Colias croceus (clouded yellow), 820 nucleotides. RefSeq lists it as uncharacterized. The transcript has 3 exons. NCBI's taxonomy places the organism in Eukaryota, Metazoa, Arthropoda, Insecta, Lepidoptera, Pieridae. The record is from RefSeq and is a predicted model, not a curated record.
CUCGCCACGGCGCUGUGAACACACGGCUUUGUGUUCUCUUUAAUAAUUUGUUUUUGCGCACGCUGCAUUUCCAUAAAGAUGUUAUACGAAGACUUGUACAGUGACUUUCAAGCUGCAAUUACAUCCUUUACUGUCUACUGGAGAAGAGAUCUUAACCACUUCAGACGAAGCCGUUUCGGGCCGUGGCUUUUGAUAUAUUAUGUCCAACGAUGCAGCUUGGGAAACUUUCCACGCGGCGUGUGGUACAAGAAUUAAUGCGUGUGAUGUUCACAUUUUAUUUGUAAGGAAAAUAUUUUGUAAAACUAUAAGAAAUGAAAUAUUUGGUUUAAUCAUCAUUAUAAUGAUAUUGUGGGCGUUGAGAGGUUAAAAUAAACUUUUAAUACCUAAAUAUUAAAGGUUGGUCGUCAGUAAAAAUUCAUCAGUAGGUACCUUUUUACCUUUGUACCUAUAUUAAUUCUAAAAGUAAAGUAUUCAAUGCAAAAGCACAGACAUCACAUUUUAACAUUAAUAGGUAUAUUAUACAUGGAAUUUUUGUAUGAAAAUUAAAGCUACUUACCCCAAAAAUAAAUAAAUUUAUGAGUCAAUUUCAUUAGGUCCAAGUGAACAUAACCAAUAAAGUUUAUGUAGUUACGUACUUUACUGUACCAGGUGCAGAGUACGCUCGUUUGUUCAAGCCUAAUAUAAAAAACUUAGUUUGUCUAUGUGAGUUUCAUAUAGGGCAGUUGAGAGACCAGCUGUGGCGGAGUUAUUACGGGCUUUUAACUUUCAAGUAACACAAGGUUUCAGGCAGUUCAUUGGUUAACUAUGUGUAUCAUCUAAA